GGAACUGUGCCCGAAUGUUAGGGACCACUUUGAUAGAGUGUCACACGAGGGUUCAAAUCCCUCCAGCUCCU
Molecule: transfer RNA, 71 nt
Filed under: Coccorella atlantica (Atlantic sabertooth)
Lineage: Eukaryota; Metazoa; Chordata; Actinopteri; Aulopiformes; Evermannellidae
Description: tRNA-Ile
Rfam family: tRNA
About the family: Transfer RNA (tRNA) molecules are approximately 80 nucleotides in length. Their secondary structure includes four short double-helical elements and three loops (D, anti-codon, and T loops).
Source: RNAcentral